GCCUGGGUGGCUCAGUUGGCUAAGCAUCUGACUUCGACUCAGGUCAUGAUCUUACAGAUCGUGGGUUUGAGCCCCAUGUCAGGCU
RNAcentral lists this transfer RNA (85 nucleotides) under Felis catus (domestic cat). It matches the Rfam family "tRNA". Rfam says of the family: Transfer RNA (tRNA) molecules are approximately 80 nucleotides in length. Their secondary structure includes four short double-helical elements and three loops (D, anti-codon, and T loops). The record is from Rfam by way of RNAcentral. Lineage: Eukaryota; Metazoa; Chordata; Mammalia; Carnivora; Felidae.